RNAcentral lists this unclassified non-coding RNA (306 nucleotides) under plant metagenome. RNAcentral describes it as "partial contains 5.8S ribosomal RNA, internal transcribed spacer 2, and large subunit ribosomal RNA". The stretch from base 1 to 105 matches the Rfam family "5.8S ribosomal RNA", at positions 50 to 154 of the family's 154-position model. The record is from RNAcentral.
GAAAUGCGAUAAGUAAUGUGAAUUGCAGAAUUCAGUGAAUCAUCGAAUCUUUGAACACACAUUGCGCCCGCCAGUAUUCUGGCGGGCAUGCCUGUCCGAGCGUCAUUUCAACCAUCAAGCCCCCGGGCUUGUGUUGGGGACCUGCGGCUGCCCGCAGGCCCUGAAAACCAGUGGCGGGCUCGCUGUCACACCGAGCGUAGUAGCAAUCACCUCGCUCAGGGCGUGCUGCGGGUUCCGGUCGUUAAACAGCCUUACAAAACCCAAGGUUGACCUCGGAUCAGGUAGGAAGACCCGCUGAACUUAAGC